This 446-nucleotide ribosomal RNA is filed under the name uncultured bacterium. Its description in RNAcentral is "partial 16S ribosomal RNA". It matches the Rfam family "Bacterial small subunit ribosomal RNA", at positions 338 to 795 of the family's 1533-position model. The record is from RNAcentral.
CCUACGGGAGGCAGCAGUCGAGAAUCAUUCACAAUGGGGGAAACACUGAUGGGGCGACGCCGCGUGGGGGAAUGAAGGUCUUCGGAUUGUAAACCCCUGUCAUGUGGGAGCAAAUUAAAAAGAUAGUACCACAAGAGGAAGAGACGGCUAACGCUGUGCCAGCAGCCGGGGGAAUACCGAGGGCUCAAGCGUUGUUCGGAAUCACUGGGCGUAAAGCGUGCGUAGGCUGUUUCGUAAGUCGUGUGUGAAAGGCGCGGGCUCAACCCGCGGACGGCACAUGAUACUGCGAGACUAGAGUAAUGGAGGGGGAACCGGAAUUCUCGGUGUAGCCGUGAAAUGCGUAGAUAUCGAGAGGAACACUCGUGGCGAAGGCGGGUUCCUGGACAUUAACUGACGCUGAGGCACGAAGGCCAGGGGAGCGAAAGGGAUUGGAUACCCCAGUAGUC